AGUUUGGGGGGGGUGUUGUCACUGGAAAGGGCCUUCCAACAGAGACUAUCUUUUCCCAGCCUCACUUAAGAUGAGGAACCUUGUGGUGGCGUUCUGGCUAACAGCAUGUGGUCAGAAGUGACGCAUUCUGAUUGCAGGGCUAACCCUCAAAUACCCCCUUCCUGGCUCUCCACAGCCCCCCUUCCCCAUCUGUGGGUUGGCUGUUUCCACUCCAGCUGCCGUUAGAAGCUGCCUGUUGAAGGGGCAGUGCCUCUGCCCACCCAGGUGCCUGGGUGAGCCCUUGUGGGUACAGGAAACAAACUUCUGCCAUGAGCUGAAUCCAGAUACUCUGGGUUCCCAUCUGCAGAGCAGCCCUGCCUAGGAUCCUCACGCCUCUGCCCUGACCCCACGAGCCCCAUCACCUUGGGAUGAUCCUUCAAAAUCAGGUUUGUUUCUGCAAGCCUGAGGACUGGAGUAGACCGAGGCACUUUCACCUCAUGAGCAUCAUCAUGCCCCAGGACCCACUGAUAGAAGAGUGCAGAGGCUUCUGUUUCGAUGUGUUCAUUAACUAAAGACUUGCGGUGUUUUCUCUUCUCUUCUGCAUGCAGACUUGUCUCUGAGCCUGGAAGGACCAGCAAAGGCAGGAGGCAAACCUCAAGUAUAGGAGAUUCCUGGAAGUUCUGCCUAUGGUGUUCUCUUUUUGUCUUCCACGUGGACCCAAGACAGAGAGCCUGAGACUCAGAGACGUUAAGGAAACUGAUCAAGGUCAUUUAACAAAGAGAACUGGGAUUCAAAGCCGGAUGUGUCUAACCUAAGAUCCUGUACCCAGUUCCUAUCCCGCCUACAAUUCUGCUUCUCGCUUGUACCCCUUACUCAACAA
Long non-coding RNA from Suricata suricatta (meerkat), 859 nucleotides. RefSeq lists it as uncharacterized. The transcript is spliced from 4 exons. NCBI's taxonomy places the organism in Eukaryota, Metazoa, Chordata, Mammalia, Carnivora, Herpestidae. The record is from RefSeq and is a predicted model, not a curated record.